RNAcentral lists this ribosomal RNA (253 nucleotides) under uncultured bacterium. Its description in RNAcentral is "partial 16S ribosomal RNA". It matches the Rfam family "Bacterial small subunit ribosomal RNA", at positions 524 to 776 of the family's 1533-position model. The record is from RNAcentral.
UACAGAGGGGGCAAGCGUUAUUCGGAAUUCUUGGGCGUAAAGGGCGCGUAGGCGGCUUUGCAAGUGACGGGUGAAAUCCCUCGGCUUAACCGAGGAACUGCCUGUCAAACUGCAUGGCUUGAGACCGGGAGAGGUGAGUGGAAUUCCCAGUGUAGCGGUGAAAUGCGUAGAUAUUGGGAGGAACACCAGUGGCGAAGGCGGCUCACUGGACCGGUACUGACGCUGAUGCGCGAAAGCCAGGGGAGCAAACGGG